UACGUAGGGUGCUAGCGUUGUUCGGAAUCAUUGGGCGUAAAGCGCGUGUAGGCGGUUAGUUAAGUCGAUUGUGAAAUCCCUGGGCUCAACCGAGGAAGUGCAUUCGAGACUAACUGGCUAGAAGACGGUAGAGGAAGGUGGAAUACCUAGUGUAGAGGUGAAAUUCGUAGAUAUUAGGAGGAAUACCGGUGGCGAAGGCGGCCUUCUGGACCGAUCUUGACGCUGAGACGCGAAAGCGUGGGGAG
RNAcentral lists this ribosomal RNA (245 nucleotides) under uncultured bacterium. RNAcentral describes it as "partial 16S ribosomal RNA". It matches the Rfam family "Bacterial small subunit ribosomal RNA", at positions 524 to 768 of the family's 1533-position model. The record is from RNAcentral.